This 253-nucleotide ribosomal RNA is filed under the name uncultured bacterium. RNAcentral's name for it is "partial 16S ribosomal RNA". It matches the Rfam family "Bacterial small subunit ribosomal RNA", at positions 524 to 776 of the family's 1533-position model. The record is from RNAcentral.
UACAGAGGAUGCAAGCGUUAUCCGGAAUGAUUGGGCGUAAAGCGUCUGUAGGUGGCUUUUUAAGUCCGCCGUCAAAUCCCAGGGCUCAACUCUGGACAGGCGGUGGAAACUACCAAGCUGGAGUACGGUAGGGGCAGAGGGAAUUUCCGGUGGAGCGGUGAAAUGCGCAGAUAUCAGGAGGAACACCGAUGGCGAAGGCAGCUCGCUGGGACGUGACUGACGCUGAGACGCGAAAGCGUGGGGAGCAAACAGG